GACGAACGCUGGCGGCGUGCUUUACACAUGCAAGUCGAACGGUGAAGGUGGAGCUUGCUCCGCCGGAUCAGUGGCGAACGGGUGAGUAACACGUGGGCAACCUGCCCCUAACUUUGGGAUAACUACUCGAAAGAGUAGCUAAUACCGGAUAUGAAGUCUGUAGGCAUCUACGGACUUGGAAAGUUUUUCGGUUAGGGAUGGGCCCGCGGCCUAUCAGCUUGUUGGUGAGGUAGUGGCUCACCAAGGCGACGACGGGUAGCCGGCCUGAGAGGGCGACCGGCCACACUGGGACUGAGACACGGCCCAGACUCCUACGGGAGGCAGCAGUGGGGAAUAUUGCGCAAUGGGCGAAAGCCUGACGCAGCAACGCCGCGUGCGGGAUGAAGGCCUUCGGGUUGUAAGCCGCUUUCAGCAGGGAAGAAGCGAAAGUGACGGUACCUGCAGAAGAAGCACCGGCUAACUACGUGCCAGCCGCCGCGGUAA
Molecule: ribosomal RNA, 483 nt
Filed under: uncultured bacterium
Lineage: Bacteria
Description: partial 16S ribosomal RNA
Rfam family: Bacterial small subunit ribosomal RNA
Source: RNAcentral